RNAcentral lists this non-coding RNA (508 nucleotides) under Pongo abelii (Sumatran orangutan). The record is from RNAcentral. Lineage: Eukaryota; Metazoa; Chordata; Mammalia; Primates; Hominidae.
GUGGGCUGCCACCGCGCUGGGGAGCAUAGUGCGGCGCCAACUGGCCUGCUGCGCGCCCGCCUGUCGCCCGCGCGCACGGCACCCGGAGCCGCAGCUUCUCGCCGCCACCUCCUGCAGGGCUGGAGCGCGCGGGGCCGGGCGGGGAGGAGAGGCCACCCGGGACGGCGGCGGACUUGGAACGAUAUUAUUUAUUUGCGUUGGGCGUUUUUUUAAGGGAUGGGAGGAGUGAGUGUGGGAGGGGGAAGCUGUGGGUUUCUCCGGCCGACGGCGUAGGCUCUGGGAGCGCCGGGGGGAGUCUCUCCCCCUCUCUAUGCAGAUCUGGACGGUUUUUUUUUUUUUUUUUUUUGGUUUUUUGUUUUGUUUUGUUUUUGUUUUUUCUGGAAGGACGGAAGGUGUGUCCAGAACAUCCAUUCAUGUCACCAGUCCCACAAAGUGACAGACACGGCCAACAAUAAAGUGGAACUUCAGUUCAGAUGAUGCAAUGAAAGCUGCAGACCUGGGAUCUGAA